GAAUUAGAGAGAUUCAAAGUAUAAGAGACAAGCCUAUGUGGCCUGACAUUAUGGGCAGUUUCUGAGAGCUGAGGACAGAUCCCAGCCAACAGAGCAAGAACAUAGGGACCUCUGUCAACUCACUGCAAGGAAAUAAAUUUUUCACUAAUUUAAGGGAGUUUGGAAGUUGAUCUUUCCCUAACUGAAUUUCCAGGAUAAGGAUGUACUGAGUCAACAUUGUGAUUUCAGCCUCACGAGAACCUGAGCAGAGGACCCAGCUAAAUUAUGCAAAAUUUCUGACCCACAGAAACAGUAAGAUAAUAAAUGUUUGUUGUUUUAGGGUAACUUUGUGCAAUUUUAAGCUAACUUUGUGCAUAACAACAUAAAAUAGACACAAGUGGUUCUUUUAGUUUAACAUAUAACUCGAGGAUAUCUUGUAUGUAUCAGGCACUGUGAUAGAUAAUGAUGUCACAAAGUUGAAGAAGACAAGUCAGUUUGUGAAAAUGUUAACUAAAUAAAUCUUGUGCACUAAUGGUAUGGUAGAAAAUAGGUGAAAAGGAGCGGGUAAGUGAAGCUUUGGAAGCUGGAUGUUCUAACAAACUAUUUUCCCAGGAACAGAUGCCAGAGGAAGGGGGCAUUCCAAGAGAAGACCUCGUAGAAAGGUCUGCACUUGAUCUCAUAUAUUUGUCUGUUGGAAACCAAUUUUAAACUGGGUACAACUAACAGCUUUCCCACUGUGUCGAGAUCUGCAAUGUGCUAUCUAUAUAUCUGUCCAAUAAUUCAAUAUCUUUCAGAGUGUGGUCCAUGCUCUGCACACCCAGCUGUUUUGCUUGUCUUGACGAGGAAGUAGAGAAAUUAACUAAAUAGAAACGUUGUAGAGGGUCAAAUAUCUUUUAAGAAAUUACAAAGACCAGGAAAGUUAUUUAUAUUAACAGCAGCAGUUGUCAAUACUAACAAUAGCAGAAUGAGUUUUGCAAGAUACUGCUAUAGUGUUGGUUCUCUAAUUAAUGUGGAAAAGAAUCUAUUAAGAACUUGAUAAUAAUAAAACUUUUCUAAGCCCCAAACUAGACCUACUGAAUCAAAAUUUUAGGAAGUGGAACCUAGUAAAUUCAUUGUUUUAAAGCUUGCCAGUGAUAAUUUGCCACACAAAAUUAGAGAACCAGUGCUAUCUUUUAAAUGUCAUUCCAUUUUUGCUAAUGUAGGUAACUUCCUAGGUCUCUAUUAUUCCUUGAGAAUUUUACACAUGUCCACUCAGCUAAUUUCCCUCUUUCCUCUCCAGCAAGAGACAGAUUCCUGAACUCCUAUUUUCAAUAAGACCUGACUUAGAUCUGCUAAAUGUUUCUGUCAGAUGUCAUUGAGUCAGACCAAAAUUGCUUUGGUCUCCUGAGGAAUGACCAUUGCACACGUAUCAAUCUACAUGCUUACUUUGACAGGACAACAUUUAUUAACUCAUGUCACAGGGAAAUAAAGGACGAUGACAAUAGAGUCCCAAGGGAGAAAGAUGAAUAUAUUAACAGUAGGGCUUAGCUCUAAGAGAGAGAAAGGGAGAAACUCCCCAGACCCAAAGGUGACAAAGCAUAAAAAGAAAAACAGAGGAGCUGUUGGAAGUACGCAGAACAUUGAUUAUCUUCCAUUGUUUCUGUUUACAUCAUAGAGAGCAGUAUUGCAUGUAACUCUCAGUCUUGCAUCAAGAACAAUCUCCUCUUAGGUUUCUGUCAACCAAGUGUCUUUGUUCAGUGUUUCCUCAUGAUUGGACCUAAGUCCAAUCCAGAGGAAAUAUCCUCCAGUAUAUCACAGAAGUGAUACUGUGUUCCUUCACUGCAUCCUACCAGGUGCCAGAUAAUGUUGAUGCGUCCCAUUACUAGUAGUCUUAUUUUCAUCAUUCAAUCAUUAAGAUGAAAUCUGAUAGACUAUAAAGUUACAUUUCCCCAUGUGUAAUAAACAUGUUUUCCCUUUGUAAUAUUUUAUAUUACAACAUAUUAAUUAUUAAUAAAAGUAAAGAAAUAUUUUCAGGCUAUAUACAAUCCUGUUCUUAUCCCACUGUCUCCCAGCAUUUUAGCAUCUAUUGAUUUUAUUUUCCUUGCUUAAACUUUUUAUAUCGUUUCCCAAUAGUGAUUAUUUGAUUCUGCCAUUUAGUUAUAAUUGUUAGCUGGAUCUUAUUGUCAGAAAGAGUAUUUGCCCCUCUUCCGGUUAUUUAUUUACUUAUUUGUGGAUUCCUCAUUUAUUUGACAUUAUAAUCCAUUCUUAUCAUUACAUGUUUUCUCCUGAAAUUACUUUACAAUUGGCUGUUUGAGCUUCUUUCAUGUAACUCCUGUGUCUUUUUGUUGUCAUGUCUCCAUCAUUUUUUAGUGUUUCUCACUGAUGGAGUUGUUGUAUGUUCAUCUUUUACUUUCCCUGUCCCAUCCCUGGAUCAACCAUUUUUCAAAAAGUUCUGGAUUCUUUCAGGGGAGAGUAUAAUUAGCAACCAAGAUCUAUAUUCUAGGUGUGCUCAUUACUACUGAUGUGUUGCUCUUCAGGUGCCUUCACAAAGUACAGGACUGGAAUAAAUAUAUAUUUGUAUGUGCACAUAUUUACGUUAUAAACAUCCAUCUCUCUAUCCAUAUCCAUAUUUCUAUCUUUAUACAGUUAAACCCAUGUGAUUAUACCAGUAACCCUAUUUGUAGUGCAACAAUGCAGAGUUCAUUCUAGAUGUGCCUCUUCACCUAUUUGUACUUCUGUUUUCCAAGGGUUAAGAAGCCUGGAUCCCAUUGUGCUCAAUAUAGCUUUUUUUGUUUGUUUGCCUUAGCCACCCUAUGUGUAGCAACAAGGCCAUCAACAGGUUUUGUGGGGUCCCAGAAAAAUAUUUUCGUGGCUUUUGUCUUUAUAAAUGUUUUGAUUAAAAUGAUUUAGAAACUUACAGAUUCAUGUAAAGUAUGGAGGCAUAUCAAUAAAUGUUUGGAAAAAUGAGUAGAAGCGUAUAUGUAUUUGUUUAUUGUCAGAUCAGUACAUGUGAAUAUUCAUGAUGUCUAGACACUAUCGCUUUCUGUACAGAUCCAGAAACCAGCUUUUUCUAUUUUGUAUUGUCAAAUGUACCAUUCCUGGCUAAUAUCUCCCUGAAAAUAACAGCAGUGCUGUUAUUACUUGUAAUGCCUUCUGAACCUAUCUGUAUUGAAAUGAUAUUAAUAAUCUUCCUCCUGCAGUCUCCUAAUAACAAUUAUUUAUCACUGAUUAUAUUAUUUCUCAUGACACUGCAUCAUCCACCUUGCAGUCCAUGAACUUUGGCUUCCAGUGACUCUUCCAAAAUUUUUUAUUACUAUGUUUCAUUGAUAGUGACUAUAAAUGCGAGUUUUGCCUGCAGUAUUCAGACAAAAUGUGAAUGAUAGUUCAUUUUCUGAUUAUGUUGACUUUACCAUACAUAAUUUUAUAGUAAAGAUGUCAAACAGCACAUCCUUCAACCUAUCUUCUCUUGAACUCUGUUAUUAUUGCAUUCAUAGAAUAUAAUCUCUUUCAAUUUUGACCACAUUCCCUACCUUCCUACCCUCCAGGCAAUAGUACUAGGUGGCAGAGUAGGCAAGAGUUCCUAGGCAGAGCUAAAAGAGUGAUUUCAUUUGCACAGGGAAUAUUUAUCUUUCCUUUGGUAUGGCUUAGACUCAUAGAAAAAAGCAUAUCAUUGGCAAAUCAGUGGUAAUGGAGCACAUUGAUUGAAAUAAGUUGUAGAUGGUCAUGUAAAGCCUCCAAGGAUAAGCUGAGACAUGCCUUGAGGGUUGCCUGACAUAUGAUGGGGAACCUGUGAAGAGUACCAGUGGUAGUAAACUCCCCAGGAACAGGAUGACUACUGCCAUCUUCUCAGCCUUCAGGACCUGCAGACCACAGGCAGCACAGCAACGGGAUACCAAAAGGGCAAGAGUAGGCAUACUGGUCACACAUUUGGCUAUAGCCCGUGAACUGUGCCCGUUGCCCAAAGUCCUGAACUCUCCUCUGUUGAGAAGAAAGAACUCAGUAUCUCAGCAUCUUUCCUGCACACCAAUCUUCUGCUCUCUGUUAAAAGAAAUACAGCCCCUGCCAGUGGGAGUGAUCCUUGCCAGUCAUCUUUCUGAAACCAUGGAGAAGUUAUGGGGCCAGAAACCAUCCCAUAGGCAGGAGUCUUCGUGGUCCUCGGGGCGUUUACUCAAUCUCUU
Molecule: long non-coding RNA, 4136 nt
Filed under: Homo sapiens (human)
Lineage: Eukaryota; Metazoa; Chordata; Mammalia; Primates; Hominidae
Description: HSALNT0364712
Source: RNAcentral